UACAGCGGUCUCAAGCGUUGUUCGGAUUCAUUGGGCGUAAAGGGCGCGUAGGCGGCGGGGUAAGUCGGGUGUGAAAUCUCAGAGCUCAACUCUGAAACUGCACUCGAUACUGCUCUGCUUGAGGACUGGAGAGGAGACUGGAAUUCACGGUGUAGCAGUGAAAUGCGUAGAUAUCGUGAGGAAGACCAGUGGCGAAGGCAGCCUCCUGGGCCAACACUGACGCUCAUGCACGAAAGCGUGGGGAGCAAACAGG
This 253-nucleotide ribosomal RNA is filed under the name uncultured bacterium. RNAcentral describes it as "partial 16S ribosomal RNA". It matches the Rfam family "Bacterial small subunit ribosomal RNA", at positions 524 to 776 of the family's 1533-position model. The record is from RNAcentral.